RNAcentral lists this transfer RNA (83 nucleotides) under Sykidion marinum. RNAcentral's name for it is "Pseudoneochloris marina tRNA-Ile". It matches the Rfam family "tRNA". From Rfam's summary of the family: Transfer RNA (tRNA) molecules are approximately 80 nucleotides in length. Lineage: Eukaryota; Viridiplantae; Chlorophyta; Ulvophyceae; Sykidiales; Sykidiacaeae. The record is from RNAcentral.
GCACCUGUGGCUGAGGGGUCGAUAGCAGCGGACUCAUAAUCUGCCUUCUUCGGACGUCGUGGGUUCGAAUCCCACUGGGUGCA